GGUUCCAUGGUGCAAUAGUUAGUACUCUGGACUCUGAAUCCAGUGAUCUGAGUUUGAAUCUCAGUGGGACCU
Molecule: non-coding RNA, 72 nt
Organism: Trachemys scripta elegans
Lineage: Eukaryota; Metazoa; Chordata; Testudines; Emydidae
Source: the annotation of a RefSeq genome assembly